This 2891-nucleotide ribosomal RNA is filed under the name Pseudomonas aeruginosa. RNAcentral's name for it is "23S ribosomal RNA". It matches the Rfam family "Bacterial large subunit ribosomal RNA". Lineage: Bacteria; Pseudomonadati; Pseudomonadota; Gammaproteobacteria; Pseudomonadales; Pseudomonadaceae. The record is from RNAcentral.
GGUCAAGUGAAGAAGCGCAUACGGUGGAUGCCUUGGCAGUCAGAGGCGAUGAAAGACGUGGUAGCCUGCGAAAAGCUUCGGGGAGUCGGCAAACAGACUUUGAUCCGGAGAUCUCUGAAUGGGGGAACCCACCUAGGAUAACCUAGGUAUCUUGUACUGAAUCCAUAGGUGCAAGAGGCGAACCAGGGGAACUGAAACAUCUAAGUACCCUGAGGAAAAGAAAUCAACCGAGAUUCCCUUAGUAGUGGCGAGCGAACGGGGAUUAGCCCUUAAGCUUCAUUGAUUUUAGCGGAACGCUCUGGAAAGUGCGGCCAUAGUGGGUGAUAGCCCCGUACGCGAAAGGAUCUUUGAAGUGAAAUCGAGUAGGACGGAGCACGAGAAACUUUGUCUGAACAUGGGGGGACCAUCCUCCAAGGCUAAAUACUACUGACUGACCGAUAGUGAACCAGUACCGUGAGGGAAAGGCGAAAAGAACCCCGGAGAGGGGAGUGAAAUAGAACCUGAAACCGUAUGCGUACAAGCAGUGGGAGCCUACUUGUUAGGUGACUGCGUACCUUUUGUAUAAUGGGUCAGCGACUUAUAUUCAGUGGCAAGCUUAACCGUAUAGGGUAGGCGUAGCGAAAGCGAGUCUUAAUAGGGCGUUUAGUCGCUGGGUAUAGACCCGAAACCGGGCGAUCUAUCCAUGAGCAGGUUGAAGGUUAGGUAACACUGACUGGAGGACCGAACCCACUCCCGUUGAAAAGGUAGGGGAUGACUUGUGGAUCGGAGUGAAAGGCUAAUCAAGCUCGGAGAUAGCUGGUUCUCCUCGAAAGCUAUUUAGGUAGCGCCUCAUGUAUCACUCUGGGGGGUAGAGCACUGUUUCGGCUAGGGGGUCAUCCCGACUUACCAAACCGAUGCCAAACUCCGAAUACCCAGAAGUGCCGAGCAUGGGAGACACACGGGGGUGCUAACGUCCGUCGUGAAAGGGAAACAACCCAGACCGCCAGCUAAGGUCCCAAAGUUGUGGUUAAGUGGUAAACGAUGUGGGAAGGCUUAGACAGCUAGGAGGUUGGCUUAGAAGCAGCCACCCUUUAAAGAAAGCGUAAUAGCUCACUAGUCGAGUCGGCCUGCGCGGAAGAUGUAACGGGGCUCAAACCACACACCGAAGCUGCGGGUGUCACGUAAGUGACGCGGUAGAGGAGCGUUCUGUAAGCCUGUGAAGGUGAGUUGAGAAGCUUGCUGGAGGUAUCAGAAGUGCGAAUGCUGACAUGAGUAACGACAAUGGGUGUGAAAAACACCCACGCCGAAAGACCAAGGGUUCCUGCGCAACGUUAAUCGACGCAGGGUUAGUCGGUUCCUAAGGCGAGGCUGAAAAGCGUAGUCGAUGGGAAACAGGUUAAUAUUCCUGUACUUCUGGUUACUGCGAUGGAGGGGACGGAGAAGGCUAGGCCAGCUUGGCGUUGGUUGUCCAAGUUUAAGGUGGUAGGCUGAAAUCUUAGGUAAAUCCGGGGUUUCAAGGCCGAGAGCUGAUGACGAGUCGUCUUUUAGAUGACGAAGUGGUUGAUGCCAUGCUUCCAAGAAAAGCUUCUAAGCUUCAGGUAACCAGGAACCGUACCCCAAACCGACACAGGUGGUCGGGUAGAGAAUACCAAGGCGCUUGAGAGAACUCGGGUGAAGGAACUAGGCAAAAUGGCACCGUAACUUCGGGAGAAGGUGCGCCGGCUAGGGUGAAGGAUUUACUCCGUAAGCUCUGGCUGGUCGAAGAUACCAGGCCGCUGCGACUGUUUAUUAAAAACACAGCACUCUGCAAACACGAAAGUGGACGUAUAGGGUGUGACGCCUGCCCGGUGCCGGAAGGUUAAUUGAUGGGGUUAGCGCAAGCGAAGCUCUUGAUCGAAGCCCCGGUAAACGGCGGCCGUAACUAUAACGGUCCUAAGGUAGCGAAAUUCCUUGUCGGGUAAGUUCCGACCUGCACGAAUGGCGUAACGAUGGCGGCGCUGUCUCCACCCGAGACUCAGUGAAAUUGAAAUCGCUGUGAAGAUGCAGUGUAUCCGCGGCUAGACGGAAAGACCCCGUGAACCUUUACUGUAGCUUUGCACUGGACUUUGAGCCUGCUUGUGUAGGAUAGGUGGGAGGCUUUGAAGCGUGGACGCCAGUUCGCGUGGAGCCAUCCUUGAAAUACCACCCUGGCAUGCUUGAGGUUCUAACUCUGGUCCGUGAUCCGGAUCGAGGACAGUGUAUGGUGGGCAGUUUGACUGGGGCGGUCUCCUCCUAAAGAGUAACGGAGGAGUACGAAGGUGCGCUCAGACCGGUCGGAAAUCGGUCGCAGAGUAUAAAGGCAAAAGCGCGCUUGACUGCGAGACAGACACGUCGAGCAGGUACGAAAGUAGGUCUUAGUGAUCCGGUGGUUCUGUAUGGAAGGGCCAUCGCUCAACGGAUAAAAGGUACUCCGGGGAUAACAGGCUGAUACCGCCCAAGAGUUCAUAUCGACGGCGGUGUUUGGCACCUCGAUGUCGGCUCAUCACAUCCUGGGGCUGAAGCCGGUCCCAAGGGUAUGGCUGUUCGCCAUUUAAAGUGGUACGCGAGCUGGGUUUAGAACGUCGUGAGACAGUUCGGUCCCUAUCUGCCGUGGACGUUUGAGAUUUGAGAGGGGCUGCUCCUAGUACGAGAGGACCGGAGUGGACGAACCUCUGGUGUUCCGGUUGUCACGCCAGUGGCAUUGCCGGGUAGCUAUGUUCGGAAAAGAUAACCGCUGAAAGCAUCUAAGCGGGAAACUUGCCUCAAGAUGAGAUCUCACUGGGAACUUGAUUCCCCUGAAGGGCCGUCGAAGACUACGACGUUGAUAGGCUGGGUGUGUAAGCGUUGUGAGGCGUUGAGCUAACCAGUACUAAUUGCCCGUGAGGCUUGACCAU